UGUGUAAGCGAAGCUAUUGUGGAGCGGUGAAAGGCUCAGUAACGGGCGAUUUAUUUAGUCUUCUGGGACGGACAACACCGGGAAACUGGUGGGAAAACGUCUAAGCUGCGAAUCACGCUAUGUGGUUGUGGCAGAAACUGUUAGUGCARAARAGUAAGAUGCCAUCCUAUCAGUUAGUAAGUAGGGUAAGGGCCUACUUARACRAARACGGGUACGGGGAAUGAGGGUUUGAUUCCGGAGAGGGAGCCUGAGAGACGGCUACCAGGACCAAGGUCAGCAGCAGGCGCGAAAAUUAUCGAAGCCCGCCUAGGGGCGAUAGUGAGGAGACGUGAAUUUUAKGUGCGUGUAAAGAACGCACUAGCAACUGGAGGUCAAGUCUGGUGCCAGCAUCCGCGGUAAUUCCAGCUCCAGGGGUGUCUAUGAUGAUUGCUGCGAUUAAAAAGUCCGUAGUCAAGCCGCCAGACCAGUCUGGAAUGUUUCUUGAUCAAGAGACGAGCAGGGCUGGGAAAGCGGAGAAUUAGGAGCGACCGAGGGCUAGAGUAUUGGGUGGCGAGAGGUGAAAUUUGAUGACCCAUCCAGGAGUGACAAAGGCGAAGGCACUAGUCAAGGGCGAAUCCGAUGAUCAAGGACGUAGGCUAGAGUUUCGAAAACGAUUAGAGACCGGAGUAGUUCUAGCAGUAAACUAUGCCGACGCCGUGAUAUGAUUUUGUUGUAUUGCGGAAGAGAAAUCAAGUAAGGCUUUGGGGAGAGUACGCGCGCAAGCGAUAAAUUUAAAGGAAAUUGACGGAGGAACACCACAAGGAGUGGAGUGUGCGGCUUAAUUG
RNAcentral lists this ribosomal RNA (824 nucleotides) under Dictyocoela cavimanum. RNAcentral's name for it is "SSU rRNA". It matches the Rfam family "Microsporidia small subunit ribosomal RNA", at positions 53 to 830 of the family's 1311-position model. The record is from RNAcentral. Lineage: Eukaryota; Fungi; Microsporidia.